Molecule: ribosomal RNA, 502 nt
Filed under: uncultured Agrobacterium sp.
Lineage: Bacteria; Pseudomonadati; Pseudomonadota; Alphaproteobacteria; Hyphomicrobiales; Rhizobiaceae
Description: bacterial SSU rRNA
Rfam family: Bacterial small subunit ribosomal RNA
Source: RNAcentral
GGAGUGGCAGACGGGUGAGUAACGCGUGGGAAUCUACCCAACCCUGCGGAAUAGCUCUGGGAAACUGGAAUUAAUACCGCAUACGCCCUACGGGGGAAAGAUUUAUCGGGGAUGGAUGAGCCCGCGUUGGAUUAGCUAGUUGGUGGGGUAAAGGCCUACCAAGGCGACGAUCCAUAGCUGGUCUGAGAGGAUGAUCAGCCACAUUGGGACUGAGACACGGCCCAAACUCCUACGGGAGGCAGCAGUGGGGAAUAUUGGACAAUGGGCGCAAGCCUGAUCCAGCCAUGCCGCGUGAGUGAUGAAGGCCUUAGGGUUGUAAAGCUCUUUCACCGGUGAAGAUAAUGACGGUAACCGGAGAAGAAGCCCCGGCUAACUUCGUGCCAGCAGCCGCGGUAAUACGAAGGGGGCUAGCGUUGUUCGGAAUUACUGGGCGUAAAGCGCACGUAGGCGGAUAUUUAAGUCAGGGGUGAAAUCCCAGAGCUCAACUCUGGAACUGCCUUUG